Molecule: ribosomal RNA, 421 nt
Filed under: uncultured bacterium
Lineage: Bacteria
Description: partial 16S ribosomal RNA
Rfam family: Bacterial small subunit ribosomal RNA
Source: RNAcentral
AAUUUUCGGCAAUGGGGGCAACCCUGACCGAGCGACGCCGCGUGAGUGAAGAAGGUCUUCGGAUUGUAAAGCUCUGUUGUAAGGGAAGAACCGUACCAGUAGGGAAUGACUGUUACCUGACGGUACCUUACCAGCAAGCCACGGCUAACUACGUGCCAGCAGCCGCGGUUAUACGUAGGUGGCAAGCGUUACCCUGAAGUAUUGGGCGUAAAGGGAGCGCAGGCGGCUUAUUAAGUCUGAGGUUAAAGUGCGGGGCUCAACCCCGUGAUGCCUAAGAAACUGGUAGGCUAGAGUGCAGGAGAGGUGAGUGGAAUUCCAUGUGUAGCGGUAAAAUGCGUAGAUAUAUGGAGGAACACCAGUGGCGAAGGCGGCUCACUGGCCUGUAACUGACGCUGAGGCUCGAAAGCGUGGGGAGCAAAUA